GGGUCAUCAUCCACAGUACCUCUGGACAAGGAGGAAAAGAACCAUUUCCACUAACCCCUGGAUGGAGGUGCAGGGAGCGUCAAUAGUAUCCCUGAAAACUUCAAAUGCACCAGGGGGGUCAGCACCCAGGGAAGAGCCACAGGAGGCCACUCUGAUGGAUUCUGAUGACUAUCUUUGCUCAAGUGUUAGGAGGAGGCUUCUUUCUCUCUGCCUCUGGCAACCCUGGGCCCAAGAAGUCCCAGGCACUCCGGAGGUCCUUCCUGCUCAUCACAGCCCCACCCAAGAGGCCUGGCUCACUCUGCAAUGAUGAUGUGAGAAUGAGCAGGUCUGCCUAGUGCCAGAGCCUGUGGUUGGAUUUUCGGCUGAGGCCAAGAGAAAUAAACAAGCCUCCUCCUUCCCUCUGCACGCUACAGGAAGAGCAGCUCGCUGGCUGCAAGGGGACCCUCCACCCUGCCUAUGGGGCACAGCAGCCCACAGCAUUCCUUCCAGAAACGGAGCACUGGCAGGCCUGGGUCCCUGUAAGAUGGAACACAAAGGGGUGGGCAGCUGACCUCAACAGCCAGCCCUUGGGAUUCCAAACCUUCUCUUAUCCCCCAACUUUGUGAUGUUAAUUUCUCCCUGGAUAAAGCUCUCUAACAACCUGGCAAGCCAGCACCAGCUGAACCAGCCCCAGCUUGAACCAGCAGCUUUCCCCAGCCCAGCUACAGUCUCAUCCCUCCAGAAGGGAAAAGAAGUCCUACGGAUUCCUUUACAAGGAACCUCCAGAAUCUGCUAUGGUGUCCGCAGGGGACAUUGGCACCAACUCUGGGUUUAUUAAAUGUAGUGGGUUCAACAGUGUCCCCCAAAACGAUAUGUCUUAAGUCCUAACUCCUGGAACCUGCGAACAUGAUCACAUUUGGAAAACGGAUCUUUGCAGAUGUAAUUAAAAAAAAAAGCGCCUAACACCAGGGGCCACUUGGCCCAGGUGGAGCCUCCAUUAAUCACGGGGCUCUCUGUGUUGUGGCCCCAAGGCGGGCAGCCGAUGGCCUCUGCCCGAGCCAAUAUGAGCUGCAGCCUAAUUACAGGGGACGGUGACCCCAGGGAGCAGAGUUCAGGCUCCGGUCACAGCUGCACCCAGGAGCCAGCUGCUUCCCAGACCUGCAGAGCCAGGGGAGAGGUUUGGAGGACCGGCACUGAAUGACAUGAUCCAAAGCGCGCCAAGCUGGGCUGGAGGUGACGGCAGAGCCACAGUGGCCACAGAGCCCCCACGUGAACCUACACGGAUCUGCCUGGUUUAGGUUCUGCUGAACUCCAGGGUGAGGAGGACCUGGUCUCCAUUCUCAAAGACAUGAAGAGGUUGACAAAGAAGAGUCACAGAAGUGACAAGUGUCCUGCUCCCAGCCCCGUUCACACACUCACCCAUCAAGUGUGGCAGGGACAGCCGCCUCUUACCAUCCACCUUGGGACCUGGACCUAAGUGGAGGUUUCUGGAGGGGCAGAUCCAGGGGAAAGGGUCUCCUCAGAAGCAGCCGCCAUUCAGAGGACCUGAGAUGAGAACCUCAUCACGCCCUCAUCAGACAGAGGAGAUCCGCGGUGUCUCCGAGCCUGGUCUCCCACUCCCCACCCAGCAGCGUUCCCUCCGCUCACCCCAAGCUUAGAACAUUCUGCUUCCCCUAAGAUCAGCUGCCGCAGUGGACUGAAUAGUGACCCCCAAAAGACAUGCCAGAGCCCUAGCCCUCGGACCUGUGAAUGUGACAGGAGUUGGAAUAGGGUCUUUGCAGAUGCAAUAAAGGAUCUCAAGAGGAGAGUAUCCUGGAUUUAGGGUGGGCUCUAAAUGCAAUGACAAGCAUCCUUACGAGACACAGAGACACAGAGAAAAGGCCAUGUGAAGACGGAGCAGGGAGUGGCGUGACGCAUCUACAUGCCCAGGAGCACCCGGGAGCCACCAGAAGCUGGGAGAGAGGCCUGGGCCGGAGCCUCCCGCAGAGGCCCCAAAGGAUCAGCCUGGUCGACACCUUGAUUUUGGACUUCUGGCCUCUAGAACCAUCUUCAGCCCCCAAAGUUCGUGGGGCUUUGUUGCAGCAGCCCCAGCAAACUGUCACGGGGGCCCUCCUCCCCUGCUAAGCCUGGUACCCAAAGCUCCCCAGCUAUCUGGGGCUAACCACACUGACCCUGGGACUUUCAGGUCACCCGUGUGUCCCACUCUUCUGCUUAACCUUCAGUGCCUGUGUGGUCACAGCUUCUCUCUCGUGAUAUGAGUCCUCUGGGCCUCUGAGUGCUCAUCUGCCCUGCACUGAAGGCUGAAGUUAAAUCCUGGAGAGAACUGACCCCUCUUGUGGGCAGGGCAGGCACUGUGCCCCCAGCACAGCCAGAGGGUACUGGCUGAAAUGUGUCCCUGUAAAGUGUCUCCCCUAUGCCCGUAUUUUCCUUCCAAGUGGGGAAGCCAGAGAGGCCUCCCCGAUCUUUCCCCCAGCCCCCUGGGGCAGGAAGCCUGUGGUCACCUGUCCGCAAGGAUCAGGUGGACAGACAACUAGCCCCUCCCAGGCCACACCUCAUCAACAGAGGGCCCCUCAAUUCUGCUGGUGGCCUAUGAGAGAAGGAAAAACUGAAGGAGUUGUUUACAGUAAACUCCAAACCCUUGUGCCAGAGAGGCCCAUGGCUGAGCAAGGUACCCCCACCCCCACUGCCCUGAGCUGCCAACUCAGCCCAGCUCAGCACUGUGACCUCUGACCUGCCUGUGGGCCACGGGAGCCUGGCCUGCCAAUCAGCAUCUCCCAGAUACCCAUCUUGUGAAGUCCCCAGUGGCUGAGUGCUUCCCCGCCCUUCCCGGACAGCGUGGGCUACAGGGGACAUUGGGCAGGAAGACAGCCAAGCCUCCAGGUUUCAGCCAAGUUAUCCCCAGCAUGGCUGCUUGCGUGGGAAGCCCACAGCUGAGGGACUGUCUGCACGUGGCAUGCAGGAGUCACAAGCGCCAUCUACACCCCACCCCGGGCCAGGCAGAUGACCUCUCUGGUCUCAGUUUCCUGAUGAGGAACAGGAAGGGCUGGACCGAAAGAUCCCUUCCAGCCCGGACAUGGAAUGACCCCACGAGGGCCACGGUGAGGUCUGUCCCAGCUCCGCACACUAGCUCGGGCCAGCAGUUUCCAAAGGCACAGCCGCAGGGGCCUUGGAGCAGGGACAAGGAGGACCAGCCCACUUCACCCUCCUGGGCAGAGGUCAAGGACCCUGCCUUUGGCCCACAUUCCUUGUGGCCAAAAAUGCAGAAGCAAGCAGUGCUGGCAGAGGCACCUAGACCUUUGGGCAAAGCAGGGGCUCCACCUGACACCCCAGGCCUGGAGCACGAGAAAACCAGCCCAGGCCUCAGGUCCCCUGACUGCCAGCGACCAGGGAAUGUGACACUUUCCGGCCUCUGCUUCCUCAUCUCUCAAUCCUAGGGGGAGAUUAGGUUGGGUGAUGUGUUUUUCUUUUUGACAG
Molecule: long non-coding RNA, 3453 nt
Filed under: Homo sapiens (human)
Lineage: Eukaryota; Metazoa; Chordata; Mammalia; Primates; Hominidae
Description: long non-coding RNA NONHSAT176601.1
Source: RNAcentral